GGGAGCUCUCCCAUAUGGUCGACCUGCAGGCGGCCGCGAAUUCACUAGUGAUUCGUAUUACCGCGGCUGCUGGCACGUAGUUAGCCGGUGCUUAUUCUUCCGGUACCGUCAAGAGCGUCCCGUAUUAGGGGGCGCCUUUUCUUCCCGAACAAAAGCGGUUUACAACCCUAGGGCCUUCAUCACUCACGCGGCAUGGCUGGAUCAGGCUUUCGCCCAUUGUCCAAUAUUCCCCACUGCUGCCUCCCGUAGGAGUUUGGGCCGUGUCUCAGUCCCAAUGUGGCUGAUCAUCCUCUCAGACCAGCUACUGAUCGUCGCCUUGGUGAGCCGUUACCUCACCAACUAGCUAAUCGGACGCGGACUCCUCCUAUGGCGAGAGAUCUUGCGACCCCCCUUUGACCUCACGGUCAUAUGCGGUAUUAGCCCGAGUUUCCCCGGGUUAUCCCCCACCUCAGGGCAGAUAAUCCACGCGUUACUCACCCGUUCGCCGCUCGACUGGGUAUUGCUACCCGCCUCGCUCGACUUGCAUGUGUAAAGCACGCCGCCAGCGUUCAUUCUGAGCCAUGAUCAAACUCUAAUCGAAUUCCCGCGGCCGCCAUGGCGGCCGGGAGCAUGCGAC
Molecule: ribosomal RNA, 616 nt
Filed under: uncultured beta proteobacterium
Lineage: Bacteria; Pseudomonadati; Pseudomonadota; Betaproteobacteria
Description: partial 16S ribosomal RNA
Source: RNAcentral